RNAcentral lists this ribosomal RNA (253 nucleotides) under uncultured bacterium. RNAcentral describes it as "partial 16S ribosomal RNA". It matches the Rfam family "Bacterial small subunit ribosomal RNA", at positions 524 to 776 of the family's 1533-position model. The record is from RNAcentral.
UACGUAGGGGGCAAGCGUUGUCCGGAUUUAUUGGGCGUAAAGCGCGCGCAGGCGGUCUACCAAGUUCGGAGUGACAGUUUCCGGCUUAACCGGAAAAGGUCUUCGAAAACUGGUGGACUUGAGGACUUGAGGGGGAGACGGAAUUCCGGGUGGAGCGGUGAAAUGCGUAGAGAUCCGGAGGAACCCCAGAGGCGAAGGCGGCGCCCUGGCCCGACACUGACGCUCAGACACGACAGCAUGGGGAGCGAACGGG